Salvia miltiorrhiza (redroot sage) is the source of this 800-nucleotide RNA transcript. RefSeq lists it as uncharacterized. The transcript has 4 exons. The record is from RefSeq and is a predicted model, not a curated record. NCBI's taxonomy places the organism in Eukaryota, Viridiplantae, Streptophyta, Magnoliopsida, Lamiales, Lamiaceae.
UAAAACGAAAAUUGGUAGCUGCAACUUCAACAUCAAACACAAAACCAAACACUUUUGAAAUAUUCAUCUUCAAAACCCCCAAAACUUCUUCAAUUGCGGGUUUCUUCAAUUCGAUCAUAAUCUGGUGGUUUGAAAGAUGAGCCAAAUAUGUAUGGUUGUAUCAAAUGGUGGUUCAUGGAAUAACGACAAGUAUGAGGGAGGGGGGGCAUCGUGAAUAUCUCCGUUUUCCAUCAUUGGGCAUGACAUUCAACACAUUACAAAAAAGUUAGAGAAUUCCAUUGAAGAUGAACGGACCAUGGAUGUGCAACCAAUUACAUCAAUGAAAUAUAAGGUUUCAUGUGGAACAAAGACGUAUGUGGUUGAUCUGAAUGCUAAGAUUUGCUUGUGUCGGGAAUUUGAUCUUGAUUUGAUUUCUUGCGCUCAUGCUGCCGCGGCAAUAAGUAAAUCAAAACAUAGUUUAUUUUCUGUGUCGAGCUACUACACAACAGAGACAUUGCGUGAGAUAUAUUCGGGUGAGGUGAUGCCAAUCUUGCAUCCAGAUGAGUGGUCUGUGCCUGUAGAAGUGAAAUCAAGACAAGUGUUGACACCACCUCAGCCUACACAGGCAGGACAUCCGCGGACAAGUAGAAUCGAAUCUUGUAGGUGAUUAUCUAGAGCUUGUUCGAGAUGCAACCAAAGCGGUCAUUACCGUUCCAAAUGCAAAGAGGCCAUUCCAAUAUCACAAGAUGAACACAUUGCUAGUAAUGAGUCAGAAGUUGUUGGGUCUCGUAGGCGCAAAUGUUGUGGCAUAUGUGGUGAAG